UCCUUUUAUGGUCACAAACCUUGUGUUUAAAAUUUCAUAGAUUUCUAUUUACUUAUACUAAAGUUAUGGUGCGAAAACCAAGAAUAAUGCUUAUUUGGGCCCUUUUUUGUUUUUGGGCCCUUUUUUGUUUUUGGCCCCUUAUUCCUAAACUGUUGGGACCUCAACUCCCAAAAUCAAUCCCAACCUUCCUUUUGUGGUCAUAAACCUUGUGUUUUAUUUUCAUUGAUUUCUAUUUACUUAUACUAAAGUUAUUGUGUGAAAACCAUGAAUAAUGCUUAUUUG
This 282-nucleotide long non-coding RNA is filed under the name Mytilus galloprovincialis (Mediterranean mussel). The record is from RNAcentral. Lineage: Eukaryota; Metazoa; Mollusca; Bivalvia; Mytilida; Mytilidae.